CUCUUGUUCGACCUUCUCUUCAUUAAUUACAACAAACAUGGAGUUUUUUGGAUAAAGCUCAAGAACAAUAGAUCAUUUUCCAGCUUGCCAUAGUAUUUCUGUAUAAAUUACAUUACGAUGACGAGAAACAUCAUAUUGUCUUUCUCAGCUUCUUUCAUUGUUCAUGUGUUGGCAAGUUUAGGUGUUUUAUAGUUGUUGUCUCUGUCAUCCUUUCGUCACUUAAAAGGUAGAUUUAAUGCUGGUAGCUAAGUGUUUUACUUCUUUGCCAUAAGCUCUCCUACAGAUCUUUAACAGCAUUGGCUUCAGCAAAUAUACUGGUAAUUCAGAAAUCACGUUUCAUAUUAUUCUGUAUUGUUUUCUUUUUCUGCUAGCCACUGUCCCUUUUGUUUAAGAUCUAGACCUUCCUUUUGUUUAAGAUCUAGACCUUCCAGUAAUGCUCAGUUAUUGGGUAGUAGUAGGCAGCUAUUUUAGCCGUGGUUAUCCUUGCUCUUGGAAUUGAUCUGCAUUUGAUCCAUCAAUAUGAUGACUUCACUUCUUUCUGAAUAUGAAAGGAACAUCAAUUGUUUAAUACCGAUGCGUUUUUUAGGGUAUUGUCAAUAAGCUGUAUUACAAAACCAUGCCCUUAUGACCUUGCAGAUCGUCAUUUAUAGAACUUCUUUUUUGAUAUCAUUAUUGCUGCAAUUUUAUUCCACUUAAGAGU
Molecule: long non-coding RNA, 700 nt
Filed under: Citrus x clementina
Lineage: Eukaryota; Viridiplantae; Streptophyta; Magnoliopsida; Sapindales; Rutaceae
Description: Citrus clementina (C. clementina) long non-coding RNA (CCLE_LNC001632)
Source: RNAcentral